UGUUUAGUCACAAACUAAAUUACUACAACCACGCCAGAAUACUACGAGCAAACGCUUGAAACUUAAAGGACUUGGCGGUGCCCAAAAUCCACCCAGAGGAGCCUGUUCUAUAAUCGACAACCCCCGCUUAACCUCACCACUCUUUGCCUUAACAGUCUAUAUACCUCCGUCUCCAGCUCACCCUACUGAAGGACAACUAAUGAGCAAAAUUAACCAAUUAAAAACGUCAGGUCAAGGUGUAGCAUACAGAGUGGACAAGAAAUGGGCUACAUUUUCUUACUAAGAACACACGGAUAUAUAAUGAAAAAAAUAUUAAAAGGCGGAUUUGGCAGUAAAAAGAAACAAUAGAGUUCUUUUUAAGAUGGCCCUUGGGCGCGC
This is a ribosomal RNA of 378 nucleotides. It matches the Rfam family "Bacterial small subunit ribosomal RNA", at positions 875 to 1384 of the family's 1533-position model.